UGGGGACUAUUGGACAAUGGGGGGAACCCUGAUCCAGCCAUGCCGCGUGUGUGAAGAAGGCCUUAUGGUUGUAAAGCACUUUAAGCGAGGAGGAGGGUACUGGUAUUAAUACUACCAGCUACUGGACGUUACUCGCAGAAUAAGCACCGGCUAACUCUGUGCCAGCAGCCUCGGUAAUACAGAGGGUGCGAGCGUUAAUCGGAUUUACUGGGCGUAAAGCGUGCGUAGGCGGCUAAUUGAGUCGGAUGUGAAAUCCCCGAGCUUAACUUGGGAAUUGCAUUCGAUACUGGUUAGCUAGAGUGUGGGAGAGGAUGGGAGAAUUCCAGGUGUAGCGGUGAAAUGCGUAGAGAUCUGGAGGAAUACCGAUGGCGAAGGCAGCCAUCUGGCAUAACACUGACGCUGAGGUACGAAAGCAUGGGGAGCAAACAGG
RNAcentral lists this ribosomal RNA (430 nucleotides) under Pseudomonadota bacterium. RNAcentral describes it as "Proteobacteria bacterium partial 16S ribosomal RNA". It matches the Rfam family "Bacterial small subunit ribosomal RNA", at positions 355 to 776 of the family's 1533-position model. Lineage: Bacteria; Pseudomonadati; Pseudomonadota. The record is from RNAcentral.